AGGCUUGUAGCUCAGGCGGUUAGAGCGCACCCCUGAUAAGGGUGAGGUCGGUGGUUCAAGUCCACUCAGGCCUA
This 74-nucleotide transfer RNA is filed under the name Proteus vulgaris. RNAcentral describes it as "tRNA-Ile". It matches the Rfam family "tRNA". Rfam says of the family: Transfer RNA (tRNA) molecules are approximately 80 nucleotides in length. Their secondary structure includes four short double-helical elements and three loops (D, anti-codon, and T loops). Further hydrogen bonds mediate the characteristic L-shaped molecular structure. tRNAs have two regions of fundamental functional importance: the anti-codon, which is responsible for specific mRNA codon recognition, and the 3' end, to which the tRNAs corresponding amino acid is attached (by aminoacyl-tRNA synthetases). tRNAs cope with the degeneracy of the genetic code in two manners: having more than one tRNA (with a specific anti-codon) for a particular amino acid; and 'wobble' base-pairing, i.e. permitting non-standard base-pairing at the 3rd anti-codon position. The record is from RNAcentral. Lineage: Bacteria; Pseudomonadati; Pseudomonadota; Gammaproteobacteria; Enterobacterales; Morganellaceae.